RNAcentral lists this long non-coding RNA (4040 nucleotides) under Homo sapiens (human). RNAcentral's name for it is "HSALNT0388964". Lineage: Eukaryota; Metazoa; Chordata; Mammalia; Primates; Hominidae. The record is from RNAcentral.
UUAAAUUUGCACAUAGACUGUCAGUGACUGAGGAUGACCCAAAUUGCAACUUCCUGUUUUAAUGUUGCAAAUGUUGCCUAUGCCUGAUGGUGUGUCAAAUACCCAAAGCUUGCAUGGAGGGACCUAACAAUGGACCUUUUCACAGCUGUGUUUCCAGAAUCUUUAUUGACUUUACUUCAUAGUAUACAAUAAGAUGAAAACAAAACGCAAACCGCCUGAUUUCCAAGAGCUUAUUUAAAACCAAAACCACCAUGUGAGACUUAGUAUAGUACACAUUAGAUAUGGAUGACAUUUCUGCAGUAAGUCAUUGUAAGUCUAGUAAAUAUCCAGAUGAUAACAUCUAUUUAAGAACAGCACUGAUAAUUAUAUACGAGGAGGUCAUGUUAAGUAUUCCACAACAAAUUAAAGAGAUGAUGUCCAUGAAGUUAUCUAUGUUACUCUAUAUAACAGAUGGAAAAAGCUUGGGUAAUAUUCAGUGCGGAUACUGACUUGUGUUCCUGACUCAUAGGCAGUGCUCAGACACAUUUAACCCACUGUCUGACAGAAUGAAUGAACGUGUGCUGUAAGUGAACCCGUUCUGGGCAUGAGGUUAAUUAUUUUCUAUGAGAGUACAUUAAAUCAUUUUCUUUUCCAAGGGUAAAUGAAGCCUUCAAUUUGAUUGAAUAAAAUACAAGAUGUGCACCACCAUGCCCGGCUAAUUUGUUUAUUUUUGUACAGGCAGGGUUUCACCAUGUUGCCCAGGCUGGUAUGGGACUCCUGAGUUCAAGCCACCCACCUGCCUUGGCCUCCCAAAGUGCUAGGAUUACAGGUGCGACCCACUGCACCUGUCCUAAAAGACAGAUUUUGCUUAAUUUCUACACUUGAUGUUCUGGUACAGACAUUUGCUUGGAAAUACAGUAUAGUUAGCGGAAGCCUUUUCAUGGGGAAAUAAGAUAUCAGUAAGUAUUCCAGGAUUUUAAACUAGAAUACAAAAGAAGAAAAUAUUUAAAAUAAACUAUAGGGUAAUAUAAAAUGUAUUUACAUCCUUACAUUUAACUGCUUAUUUUACAAGCAAUAAGUUAUCAUUCACCAAUUAAUAAUUUAUGUCAAGUUCACCUGUAUUAAUACACAUAAACUUCUAUGAAGUUCCAUAAUGCCAAAUAAAAAAGGAACAUUUAGGUUUAACAUGUUAUUUUAUAUAGGCAUAACGCAACACCAGCAUUACAGGAUUGCAUUUACAAAUUCUCUUGACUCUAAGCAUGAAAUUAUGUUAAAAGACUAAGGCAAUUUAACUGUUUUUGGGUUUUUUUAUAUUAAGGAAACCUAAAUUUGUAUGAGUGAAUUAAAUUGAAUUACAUUUUCUUAUAGGCAUAUCAGUUUACCCUUUGUUAAAAUAACACGCACUGCCCUACAAAAUGAAUGCCGUAGUCACAAUCAUGUUUCUGCCACAAUCUUAAAGAUUUGGGGAAACAACUACAAUCUAAAAUCAGAGACUCCAUGUCCAAUGCCAAAGGUACACACCUCUAUUUUUCCCCAAUAAGCUUCUUGGAAAAGUCUUUGAAUUACACGUUAAAGUGCACUUCAAGGAAAUGUGAUGUUUUCGUUUAUAGCUGGUGAACAGCAUGCAAUUUGACAGCACUGUCACUAACAAUCAGAGACUGCUCUGGAUCUAAGUACUAAAAAUGACCCACACUGCAAUCACAAGAUAUUUGGAAGUGGGAAUUUAUUGAACAAAGUUAGGCCGGGAGUCUAAAGCAGCACUUGCUUCUUUUGCUCCAAGACGACGACGUUUAACAUUAGCAUCACUAUUGUUUCUUUUUCCCUCAACUCUUCUCCCACACUGCCUUCUUCUCCCCCACCACCUUCUCCCAUCGUCUUUCCCCGCUUCCCUUCUCCCUCCCUCCGCUCCCCCUUCUUCUCCCAGCACUCUUCUCAGCCCGUCUUUCUGCCUUUUUCUUCCCCUCCCCACCUCGUUCCCUGCCUCAUCCUCUUCUCUCCCACCCAUCUUUUUCCCCUCUCCAUCUCUUUCCCCAAGGUCGUCUUCGCCGCUUUCCCCUCCCUUCUUCUUCCCCCCAACCCUCUUCCCUCCUCCCUCCCCAUCCUUUUCUUCCCUUCACCCCUUUUCCAGUCUUCUUCCCCACCUUCUGCCCUUUCCCUCCCCUCUCCUUCCCUCCCCUCUCCUUCCCGACCCUUCUCCUUUCCCAACGUCUUCCCACCUUUUUCUCCCCUCUCCGUCUUCUCCCCUCCUUCUUCCCCACUGCGGUCUUCCCGCAUCCUCUUCUGCCGUCUCCCUACUGUCUUCUUCCCGCACCUUCUUCUCCCCCGCAGUUUUUUUUCCCCUUCCCCACCGUUUUCUUCCCCUCAGUCUCUCCCAUUCCUCGCAGCACGGGUUCCUGUGGCGGCAGCUUUUCCUUCCAUCUCCUUCUCUCCACCCGCUGGCUUCCAGUCUCCACCUUCCCGCCUAUUCCCCCAGCAGCGUCUUCCCGCCGCUCCCUCUUCUCCCCUCCCCCUCCUCACCGUCUUCUCCCGGCCUAUUACCGCCAACCGUUUUCUUCCUCACCCCGCACCCUUUUCUUCCCAUGUCUGCCUUAGUCUUCUUCCCACCCUCUUCUCCUCUCCCCAUCGCCUUCUUCCCACCCUCUUCUCCUCUCCCAAUCGUCGUCUUUCCCAGCCUCUUCUCCAUUUUCUUGCCGCCUCCAUAUCCCCACCUUCUCGCAGCAGCGUCUUCCUGCCGCGCUUUUCUCUCCCCUCACCAUCUUCUCUUCCUCUUCCCCACCGUCCUCUCCCCACGCCCUCUUCUCCUCACUGUCUUCUCCCCGCGCCUUCCCCACAACCGUUUUGUCCCCCGUUUUCUUCCCCUCACACCGUUUUCUUCCCAUGUCCUCCCACCGUCUCGCAGCAGCGUCUGUCAGUCGCAAUCUUCUUCCCACUUUCUUCUCUCCCCCUCCCAUCGUCUUUUUUCCCCAGCCUCUUAUUCUCCGCCAUCUUCUUCCCCUCCCCACCUUCUCGCAGCAGCGACUUCCUGCCGCGUUUUUCUCUCCCCGCACCCUCUUCUCCCCUCUUCCACUCCCCACCGUCUUCGCCCCCGAUCGUCUUCUUGCCCACCCCCUUCUCGCGCUCUCCAACUGCCUUUCACCUAGAAGCGCUCCACGCGUGCGCCCGCCUGUGUCCCUGCGCCUGGUGUGUCUGUGCGCCCAGCCAGCCCCAUGAGCUGGGCCCCUGAGCUCCGCCCCAACAGCCAACAGGAGACCCAGGAGAGUCGCUGCCAGGGCCAUCACGGCUGCCGCCGCCCCCGCCCCCGCCGCUACCUCAGAACUGAACAGUGUUGGCUGCGGGCGAAAGACAGUGGGGCCCGGAAGACUGCGGGGAGAGGGGGAGGAGGGGACGGAGAGGGUGGGAAAGACCUUGGAAAGUGGGAUGGGGAGAAAGGUGGGGAAGAAGACAGUGGGGAGAAAGUGCAGGGAGAAGACAGUGUGGUAGAGAAGACAGUGGAGGAAAACGGAAGGUCGUGGGAACAUACAGAGACCUACAGGGAAGACGGCCAUGGGACAAGGGAGGCAGAGUCUGGAGUUACGCUGCCUACAGUCACGGAAUGCCAAGGACAGCUGGAAACCACCAGAAGCUAAGAAGGAGAUUUUACCUGAAAGCCUCUCAAAGAAAUCAAUCAUACUCACACCUCCUUUUUGAAUUUCUGGCCUCGUGAAUGGUGAAAAAAUAAAUUUCUGUCGUCUUAAGCCCCACGGUUGAGACUGAGCUACAGUUAAUCUGUGGCAAGGUGCUGGAUGCACUGGACAAACACCUCAUUCCAGUAGCUGACACUGGCAAGUCCAAGGUUUUCUAUUAGGAAAUGUAGGUUCUAUACUAGAAAGGAAAAUGUAAGAUUAAAAGUUGGCCUUUUUAGAAUCAUGACUUUCUUCUAUGUAGGUUUCCAACUUUUAUUUAAAAAUAAUUGUUUAAUGUUAGAAGGAUAGUCAAUGUUGGGAUAAAAAGAUGGUCAGGCUAUUAUAAAAAAUGCAUUAGCUUUUGCUUUACCUAUUUAUAUUCUUUUGCUUUCAUGGGAC